UNCUAGCACAGGUCAUCCACAGUUGCAGU
RNAcentral lists this non-coding RNA (29 nucleotides) under Rattus norvegicus (Norway rat). Lineage: Eukaryota; Metazoa; Chordata; Mammalia; Rodentia; Muridae. The record is from RNAcentral.